Molecule: ribosomal RNA, 491 nt
Filed under: Pasteurella canis
Lineage: Bacteria; Pseudomonadati; Pseudomonadota; Gammaproteobacteria; Pasteurellales; Pasteurellaceae
Description: bacterial SSU rRNA
Rfam family: Bacterial small subunit ribosomal RNA
Source: RNAcentral
AUUGAACGCUGGCGGCAGGCUUAACACAUGCAAGUCGAACGGUAGCAGGAAGAAAGCUUGCUUUUUUUGCUGACGAGUGGCGGACGGGUGAGUAAUGCUUGGGAAUCUGGCUUAUGGAGGGGGAUAACUGUGGGAAACUGCAGCUAAUACCGCGUAUAAUCGAGAGAUGAAAGGGUGGGACCGUAAGGCCACUUGCCAUAAGAUGAGCCCAAGUGGGAUUAGGUAGUUGGUGGGGUAAGGGCCUACCAAGCCUGCGAUCUCUAGCUGGUCUGAGAGGAUGGCCAGCCACACUGGGACUGAGACACGGCCCAGACUCCUACGGGAGGCAGCAGUGGGGAAUAUUGCGCAAUGGGGGGAACCCUGACGCAGCCAUGCCGCGUGAAUGAAGAAGGCCUUCGGGUUGUAAAGUUCUUUCGGUGAUGAGGAAGGGGUAUUAUUGAAUAGAUAAUAUCAUUGACGUUAAUUACAGAAGAAGCACCGGCUAACUCCGU